CCUACGGGCGGCAGCAGUGGGGAAUAUUGGACAAUGGGGGGAACCCUGAUCCAGCCAUGCCGCGUGUGUGAAGAAGGCCCUCGAGUUGUAAAGCACUUUCAGUGAGGAAGAACGCCUGGUGGUUAAUACCCAUCAGGAAAGACAUCACUCACAGAAGAAGCACCGGCUAACUCCGUGCCAGCAGCCGCGGUAAUACGGAGGGUGCGAGCGUUAAUCGGAAUUACUGGGCGUAAAGCGCGCGUAGGUGGCUUGAUAAGCCGGUUGUGAAAGCCCCGGGCUCAACCUGGGAACGGCAUCCGGAACUGUCAAGCUAGAGUGCAGGAGAGGAAGGUAGAAUUCCCGGUGUAGCGGUGAAAUGCGUAGAGAUCGGGAGGAAUACCAGUGGCGAAGGCGGCCUUCUGGACUGACACUGACACUGAGGUGCGAAAGCGUGGGUAGCAAACAGGAUUAGAUACCCUGGUAGUC
This 465-nucleotide ribosomal RNA is filed under the name Vreelandella stevensii. RNAcentral describes it as "partial 16S ribosomal RNA". It matches the Rfam family "Bacterial small subunit ribosomal RNA", at positions 338 to 795 of the family's 1533-position model. Lineage: Bacteria; Pseudomonadati; Pseudomonadota; Gammaproteobacteria; Oceanospirillales; Halomonadaceae. The record is from RNAcentral.